This 336-nucleotide long non-coding RNA is filed under the name Chinchilla lanigera (long-tailed chinchilla). RNAcentral's name for it is "lncRNA (ENSCLAG00000027025.1)". Lineage: Eukaryota; Metazoa; Chordata; Mammalia; Rodentia; Chinchillidae. The record is from RNAcentral.
GCCAUUGAUUAUUGUCCUGAAAUUCCUAGGUCCAGUCAUAGAUAAAAGGAUAAUGACUUCAAAGGGAAGAGUUAAGAGUUUAACCCCAAGCUAAGAGAGUGGACAACUAGGUAAUUGAGGGUAAUAACCCAUCACAGACUUGCUUUCAAAGGAUCACCAAGCUGAACUCUCAGGUGGCUUUAAUUUUAUUAACAUUUGUAGCCGCUGACUUGAGAAGCCGGUCUGGAGUCAUUACGAGCUUCAAAGCUCCAGCUCCCUCCCUGCCCUGCACACCUGCAUGCGGCCUUUUGGUACAUCCACAGGUGAGCGCCAGCCUCCUCUCGGUCACUAUGGCCC